AUUGAACGCUGGCGGCAUGCUUUACACAUGCAAGUCGGACGGCAGCACAGAGAAGCUUGCUUCUUGGGUGGCGAGUGGCGAACGGGUGAGUAACGCAUCGGAACGUACCGAGUAAUGGGGGAUAACUGUCCGAAAGGACAGCUAAUACCGCAUACGCCCUGAGGGGGAACGCGGGGGAUCUUAGGACCUCGCGUUAUUCGAGCGGCCGAUGUCUGAUUAGCUGGUUGCGGGGUAAAGGCCCACCAAGGCGACGAUCAGUAGCGGGUCUGAGAGGAUGAUCCGCCACACUGGGACUGAGACACGGCCCAGACUCCUACGGGAGGCAGCAGUGGGGAAUUUUGGACAAUGGGCGCAAGCCUGAUCCAGCCAUGCCGCGUGUCUGAAGAAGGCCUUCGGGUUGUAAAGGACUUUUGUCAGGGAAGAAAAGGGGCAUGUUAAUACCGUGCUCUGAUGACGGUACCUGAAGAAUAAGCA
RNAcentral lists this ribosomal RNA (474 nucleotides) under Neisseria bacilliformis. RNAcentral describes it as "bacterial SSU rRNA". It matches the Rfam family "Bacterial small subunit ribosomal RNA", at positions 30 to 492 of the family's 1533-position model. The record is from RNAcentral. Lineage: Bacteria; Pseudomonadati; Pseudomonadota; Betaproteobacteria; Neisseriales; Neisseriaceae.